This 465-nucleotide ribosomal RNA is filed under the name uncultured bacterium. RNAcentral's name for it is "bacterial SSU rRNA". It matches the Rfam family "Bacterial small subunit ribosomal RNA", at positions 338 to 795 of the family's 1533-position model. The record is from RNAcentral.
CCUACGGGUUGCAGCAGUGGGGAAUAUUGCACAAUGGGCGCAAGCCUGAUGCAGCCAUGCCGCGUGUAUGAAGAAGGCCUUCGGGUUGUAAAGUACUUUCAGCGGGGAGGAAGGCGAUAAGGUUAAUAACCUUGUCGAUCGACGUUGCCCGCAGGAGAAGCACCGGCUAACUCCGUGCCAGCAGCCGCGGUAAUACGGAGGGUGCAAGCGUUAAUCGGAAUUACUGGGCGUAAAGCGCACGCAGGCGGUCUGUCAAGUCAGAUGUGAAAUCCCCGGGCUCAACCUGGGAACUGCAUUCGAAACUGGCAGGCUAGAGUCUUGUAGAGGGGGGUAGAAUUCCAGGUGUAGCGGUGAAAUGCGUAGAGAUCUGGAGGAAUACCGGUGGCGAAGGCGGCCCCCUGGACAAAGACUGACGCUCAGGUGCGAAAGCGUGGGGAGCAAACAGGAUUAGAUACCCGAGUAGUC